RNAcentral lists this microRNA (22 nucleotides) under Populus trichocarpa (black cottonwood). RNAcentral describes it as "ptc-miR482d-5p". Its record names the gene ptc-miR482d-5p. Lineage: Eukaryota; Viridiplantae; Streptophyta; Magnoliopsida; Malpighiales; Salicaceae. The record is from miRBase by way of RNAcentral.
GGACAUGGGUUGGUUUGCAAGA